AGGGGUGUCGCCAAGCGGUAAGGCAACGGGUUUUGAUCCCGUCAUUCUGGGGUUCGAAUCCCUGCACCCCUGCCA
This 75-nucleotide transfer RNA is filed under the name Rheinheimera sp. RNAcentral's name for it is "tRNA-Gln". It matches the Rfam family "tRNA". Rfam says of the family: Transfer RNA (tRNA) molecules are approximately 80 nucleotides in length. Their secondary structure includes four short double-helical elements and three loops (D, anti-codon, and T loops). The record is from RNAcentral. Lineage: Bacteria; Pseudomonadati; Pseudomonadota; Gammaproteobacteria; Chromatiales; Chromatiaceae.